This 474-nucleotide ribosomal RNA is filed under the name uncultured bacterium. RNAcentral's name for it is "SSU rRNA". It matches the Rfam family "Bacterial small subunit ribosomal RNA", at positions 26 to 518 of the family's 1533-position model. The record is from RNAcentral.
AGGACGAACGCUGGCGGCGUGCUUAACACAUGCAAGUCGAGCGGAAAGGCCCUUCGGGGUACUCGAGCGGCGAACGGGUGAGUAACACGUGAGUAAUCUGCCCCUAGCUCUGGGAUAGCUCCGGGAAACCGGGAUUAAUACCGGAUACGACCACCUUAGACAUCUUUUGUGGUGGAAAGAAUUUCGGCUAGGGAUGAGCUCGCGGUCUAUCAGCUUGUUGGUGGGGUAACGGCCUACCAAGGCGACGACGGGUAGCCGGCCUGAGAGGGCGACCGGCCACACUGGGACUGAGACACGGCCCAGACUCCUACGGGAGGCAGCAGUGGGGAAUAUUGCGCAAUGGGCGAAAGCCUGACGCAGCGACGCCGCGUGGGGGAUGAAGGCCUUCGGGUUGUAACCCCUUUCAGCAGGGACGAAGCGAAAGUGACGGUACCUGCAGAAGAAGCGCCGGCUAACUACGCGCCAGCGAGCCGC